RNAcentral lists this long non-coding RNA (202 nucleotides) under Elaeis guineensis (African oil palm). RNAcentral's name for it is "long non-coding RNA (EGUI_LNC052885)". The record is from RNAcentral. Lineage: Eukaryota; Viridiplantae; Streptophyta; Magnoliopsida; Arecales; Arecaceae.
UGCCCACCCCCAGGGUCUUAUACUCUUUGAUUUCCAUCAUGCUUUUACCAACGACUUACUUGCCUUAGUUGCAGAGAUGGUGACAGAGAAGGAUGCAGGCUCUCUGGAUAAACCUGAUAAGAAGGUCCAUCGAAAAAGGGUAGCUGAGCUUGCGAGCGACCAAAGCAUCUGCAUCAAGAUCGAAAGUCUCCUAGUGCCACCA